GUUUGAUUCUUGCUCCACCAAAGUGACUAUCUUGGGGCUAAGCGACUUUAUCAUCCUAAUGAGACCAUCUCUAGGGUUAUUCACGUCAACGCUCUCAUCAGGGGUGUGGUGAAGUUGCAAAGGAAAGUUUACAGCCAGAGCCUCACCAGGCCUUACAUCAAGCAUAUCCCAAGUGAUUUCCGGAGCAAAAACUGGCACUGCAUGAAACUCAACAGCAAUGUUGAAUUCCUCAGAAAUUGCUGAUAGCCGUCUGGCAACUGCAGCCAAUCCAUCUCCCCGAGCGUACUGUGAAACUGGAUCAUCAAUUCCUGUAAUACGUACGUAGGGGGCACCACCGGGUCGUGCUGCAAGAGCUUGUAAGAGAGUCAUCCAUUGGGUCCCCUGUGCAAUUUGGAAGUCUAUAAUGUGGAUGCGAUCUUCAUUUCUGCAUGCUUCUACUAUGGCACCAUUUGCAGCCAUGUAGCCGAACUUUAGGUAAGGACAUAUUUCAUAGAGGAUAUACAUGUAGGAGAACAAGUCCUUACCAGCCGGCUCCUUACACUUUAAACUCCUGUAUAUGGUAGUUCCAGAUAACUCCUUUCUUGCUACGAGGCCUUCUACAAUGUAAGCACCAAGACGCUGGAUGGGAUCUCCAGUAACGGACACAACACUCCUUGCCUUAGCAACCAGUAUUUCAAAAUCAUCUAGCUUGUUUUCAGCAAGAGCUCUGGCGCAUGCUAUAAGCAGCUGCUUCAGAUUGCUAGACGGAACACCCUGCAAGGGCAAGUCCUCCAUUACAUUGUCUCGCUUAUCACUUUGAAUUCCAUUAAGGAUUGAAACUACUGAUUGUUGAUGACGCACAACUUGGGCUUCCUUGUUCCACGCUUUAUACCUCUGACCUGAUGUUUGUGCCCCCAUAUUUUCACCAAGAUAAGGGCUGGAUUUCAUUGCCUCUUUGUCUGGCCCCAUUAAAGCAGACUCCAACUGCAGCAGAGUAUGUUUCAUGUUCCGACUGUAAGGAGCUUCUGGAAGAUGAUCUUCCGAGGGGCUUGGUCGAUGGAAAUAUUGGUUAUAAUCCAGUGAGGAACCACUUGAAGAACUAGCACCUGAAAGAUUCUCUGUACAGCUGGGCUGCUCCUGGUAAUCACUUACUGUGUUGAAGGUCUCAGAGUUAAAAUAGUUCACAAGUGGCGAAUUUCCUGAAUCAAAUUUCGAUGUACCAAAUGGUCUAUUCUCUAGAGGACUAACAGUAGGGCAUGAAGAAUACGACAAAUCACUACCGGUCACACCAUAAGCAACCAAAUGGUGCGAGUCCAUACUAUACGGCUGUCAUUAGCUGCUCUAUGCGCAAACUCUUUCUCACUAACACUUAAUAUCUGCUUCACCGAAAUCCACCUGAUAUAAUCUGCAGAAGGA
Molecule: unclassified non-coding RNA, 1395 nt
Filed under: Hevea brasiliensis (rubber tree)
Lineage: Eukaryota; Viridiplantae; Streptophyta; Magnoliopsida; Malpighiales; Euphorbiaceae
Source: RNAcentral